GACGAACCGUGCGAACGUUGUUCGGAUUCACUGGGCUUAAAGGGCGCGUAGGCGGCUUGCCAAGUCAGGGGUGAAAUCUUCCGGCUCAACCGGAAAAGUGCUUCUGAUACUGGCGGGCUGGAGGAGGGUAGGGGCAGAUGGAACUUCCGGUGGAGCGGUGAAAUGCGUAGAUAUCGGAAGGAACGCCGGUGGCGAAAGCGAUCUGCUGGACCCUUUCUGACGCUGAGGCGCGAAAGCGUGGGGAGCAAACAGG
Molecule: ribosomal RNA, 253 nt
Filed under: uncultured bacterium
Lineage: Bacteria
Description: partial 16S ribosomal RNA
Rfam family: Bacterial small subunit ribosomal RNA
Source: RNAcentral